GGCUGAAAAAAAUAUCUAGUACAUUGGGGGGAUUACGUAGAUAUACAUGUUCAAUCAAUCUGCUUUUACUGAUUUGCUAUAUAUUAUGUAAUUUCUUCCACUGUUUCUUGAAGAAAUGAAAAGGGAUCAUGAAUGUGUCUUCAGAAAACUUUUUGUUCUUUUAAAAUCCAAACCUGUGAAGUGGAUAGAAUGUGGUGCUAAAUCUUAUCUGUGGUGAC
This 218-nucleotide unclassified non-coding RNA is filed under the name Hevea brasiliensis (rubber tree). Lineage: Eukaryota; Viridiplantae; Streptophyta; Magnoliopsida; Malpighiales; Euphorbiaceae. The record is from RNAcentral.